This 2662-nucleotide ribosomal RNA is filed under the name Triticum aestivum (bread wheat). Its description in RNAcentral is "partial small subunit ribosomal RNA". Lineage: Eukaryota; Viridiplantae; Streptophyta; Magnoliopsida; Poales; Poaceae. The record is from RNAcentral.
CCCUCCCCUUCGCCGGUGGCCACCAUUUAAUCUCCUCCCCUUCGACGUCAGUAAGCAGAGAUAGGUAAGGGGAGAGGGGGGGAAGAAAGAGAUAGUGAAAAAUGGAGACAGUUUUAGACUUCUAGAGACGUCGUUUGCUUCCUUAACGACACGACGAGUUGCAGGUUGCUCUCAUACCCCCUGCGACGACUACCUGUCGUGUGCUCGUGACUGUGCCUACUCUUUCCUUCGCUGGGACUUUUAUUUUGUCUGUUGAUUUUACGUCUUCCGUUUCUCGCUACAGAACCUCUAGGUCGCAAUCUUCUCUUUCCUAUAGUACUUCUUUAGUGACUGUGUCUUCGUACUCUCCCAAGCGAAAAACUUCUUCAACGAUGUUACACGUUCGAGAGUACUGCUAGUUCUUGAUGGAGUUCCUAGGGGUACCGCACGAGUUCUUGACCCUGGUCCUGAGCCACCUAGGAACGUCGACCUGGUACCAGUGGACGAGGGUCCUUUUGGAGCAGUGGCCGGACCUUCGGGGUUCGGUCUUGGAGAGACCGGACGAGAGGGGCUCGUAUCCGUUAGACUGGUUAGAGCUCUAUCAGGACGACGUCUUGUUGUUGUAGUUACCGGCUUAGGGCCGUCUCUAACCGUCCGAGUGCUUCGAAUCCUGCGAACUAGAGAGGUCGUUGGUGAAGAGGCCGCUUUAGGGGCCGAGGCACUCGGCGGAGUCCCUGGAGGUCAUGAACUCCGAGUUGUUGUUGUGGAACAGGCCGCGUAAGGGAAGCAGCAGCCGAUUAGACAGCGUGGAACAAAAGAACCUAGACAGGAUGUUAUUAGACUCGCCAGGUCAAGGUCCCAGAAACCGUUCCUGUAAGUUGUAUCAUCCCUUAGGUGACUAGACGCCUCGUCGAUGUCUUGUUCUAACAAUACCUUGAAACGGGUACGGCUACAGGAUGUCGGACUUAUUGUGUGUUCCAUGGUAUGACGGUCGUUUUAGAUUCUCGGUGUUUCGGCGUUAACGUAAACCAAGAUGCUAUCCGACGUAGUCGUAGGAAAAGGAUCAAUGCCCUAACGACAAGACCACCUCCGUAUCCUUUUUAGCCGUCUAAGAAAAGCUACAGCUACUGGUCGUGUAGCUCUUGCAUUUGGAACUUUUGGACUUCUCCAAAGUCAAGUCUCUCGAGGUCCGACGUUGUCUCUUGAAGUCGUUGUUCUUGUACUAUCCUUUUCCGCCAAAACCUUUACAAAUGGCUCCCUUCGAGGGUCUACCUUGAUAUCAUCGUCAGUUCUCCGACUUUCUACCUUUACGGCGUCCGCCCCUUAACGUUAAAGUCUGACUUCAGCUCUACUAGUCGAACCGUCACGUGGCCUUAGAGGAAUCCGAGACGCCCAAGACGUACUGACGUUGGCUCUCCGAUGACUAGAUAGGUAUGUACAGGUUACCUUCACAACGUAGUGCGGACUUUCCCUUCGGUGGUGACUUGACCUAGUGGUCUUUCCCUUAUCGGGAGCCACGUCGUUCUCCGGAUGAUAUGGACGUGCUCGUCACACUAGGGUUCUAGUAGGUGUCCCUACAUUUCCGUCGUUUACAUGACGAGCUACUGAAGACACUUCGUUAACAACCUCUAAAACCCGAACGGUUCGAGGACCUAGUGGCACUGAGCGUACAGUGGUGUCGACACUCCCCUUGACAUCCGGUGUAACGGGGUCUCAUGGAGAGGUGCCCGGUCAGUAGACUCUUUUGACUACAGAAGCCGAAGCCCUAGGACGACGAUCUUGACUAGUGGCCCGUCUGACGUGAACUCAAACCUUUCAGUAGUUUAGUCUUCCCUCGGUACGAACUGACCCACUUCUUCUACGUGGUCCUCUUCUUCGAGCUGCACGAACAGCUGUUCCCUGAGCCUUCGUCAAUGCUGGUGUAACUCGAUCUCCUCUACCACGUCCACCGCGACGACACGUGGGUCAUAGAGGGGCCAGUGUCCGGUUUCUACAGCCUCCACCAGUCCUACGAGCUUCCACUGCCCGAGCGUCUCGCCACCCUCCGCAGCGUCGCAUGACUGAGCGUGUUCAAGUUCCACGGACUGAAGUGGAAGCCCGCAACGAUGAGGCUGGACUGUCUGCUGAGCAGCAACGACCACGUUCGUCAACUCGAGAGACCUGGCUCUACUAUUGUGCUGUCUCUCAACUUCUUCCUUUGUAGUAGUCAACAAAGGUCGUCCUGGACAUGUCGUUUUGGACGAAUUUUACCGUUUGUUGUAUUACAUCGGUUGUAGAUUACUACGUAAGACAGUCCUUCACAUCGUGUAGAGUCUACUUGACAUGUUUCUUCUUCCCGUGUUGGAUCAAUAGAUCCGUACCAUAUAAAAUGUAAUUGUCUAAGACAUUUGACAACCAUGUUAUUUCUACUGUCUCGUUAUAAAAAACUCUACGUUCAAAACCAGGAAAAAGGGGGAAAACAUUUUAACAACGGUAACCUAACGUUGUUGGACCGUCACAGUACAACAGAAGUUGACUAUCUCCAGGUUUGAGAUCAUAUGAAUAAAGGAAACAUGAGGGAGGCAAGGAUUUAUAAACAGAAAAAUCUCUAAAGUUUACCUGAUGGUGUAUGCCUACAUAUAUCUGAACAACUUUAGAGAUCUUUCUGUUUAUAAAUCCUUGCCUCCCUCAUUGAAUAUUAGAU